UUAUUAUAGGAUAUAUAUUAUGAAUAUAAUAAUAAUGUAACAUGUAACAAAAUGACUGUCAAAAAGGGACACAUCUUAUGAUAAACUGUGUUUCUUAAAAUAUGAUGUCUUAUUAAAUGACUGCAUUCGUUCAGCUGUAAUGGUAAACACUCGGGCACUUUCAAAUACCAAAGCCUUUGUGAUCUUCUGUUAUAUUACAAAGAUCAAACUGAGGCGUAUGACGCAAAUGAGAUCAAAUGAUUGGCAUGCAGUAUUAAUUUCACUUUAGCUGUGGGCAGUUACACACCUAGUGAGAUUAAAAUGAUCGUUAUUUGUUAAUGUCAAUUAUUGCGCACGGCAAAUUUAAUUUCCAUAAUGUUAUUCAAUGGAUGAAAGAUGAAAAUACAUUAUGAAUCAUAUUUGAUUACCUUUUUUAACUGUGGUGUUCUCUCCAAACAGCAAAAUCGGUAAUGUUCAAUGCAGUCUGGGUUUUAUGGCCGACAAAAGAUGUCCAGCAGGGAGAGAUCGGAAGUCAGAGAGACCGGCGGUGUGGCAGGGUGCACCACCUGUCCACGAGGCACCAAAUCUGGGUCACAAUGUACAAUGAGUCUACACCAAACCCUGGAGAUGCUUAAAUCUGUGAACAAUGGGAUGAAGGCCAGAGCUUCAGAGAUGAUCAGCAAGGAAGGCCUGAUUUCUGACAGUUUCUCCAUCUGGAGCUGUCUUAAAGCAAACCUGAUCAGACGCACACAAAAACAUGAUAAACAUUUUUAGUGAAAGUGACAUAGUGGCCAUGGUAUGGUAACCCGUAUUUGGACAGUGACCUCUGCAUUUAACCCAUCAAGGGCUCUAAAGGUCACUGAACUCUACAUAGCUGUCCAUCAUGGCUGAUCUGAAGUCAGUCGUAUAUUUUCUCAUAGGCCUGUAACUCCUACGUGAGGUAGCGAACGCAGAGGCGAAUACUUGGCUUAUGUACUGCAGUACAAGGUCUCAUUGUACACACUUGUGCUCUCAUAUUACACAGCUAAAGUUUGCUUUAUACAGUAUAUGUUGAAUGCACUUCAAAUAUGAAAUACUGUAAAACAACUGUACUUAAAGCUUACUGAUGCUGUUUAUGAGACUCAUGGUGUUCACAUGUUACAACUCAGCCUAAUCCUGUUUUACAACCACAGCCCUCCGGCAGAUAACUGAGCCGUCGAAUGAGCUCUGGAAAAUCCUCUUCACACUGUUAUGUUCAAUAAAAAAAAUUACAAAACAUAAUUGGUAGUGAAAUAUGUGGACAAAGGUGACAUCAUGAUACUCAUGACUCUAUAAUAACUAAAUGUGACCCUGGACCACAAACCAAUUU
Long non-coding RNA from Misgurnus anguillicaudatus (oriental weatherfish), 1327 nucleotides. RefSeq lists it as uncharacterized. NCBI's taxonomy places the organism in Eukaryota, Metazoa, Chordata, Actinopteri, Cypriniformes, Cobitidae. The record is from RefSeq and is a predicted model, not a curated record.